AGGGAAUCUUCGGCAAUGGACGGAAGUCUGACCGAGCAACGCCGCGUGAGUGAAGAAGGUUUUCGGAUCGUAAAGCUCUGUUGUAAGAGAAGAACGAGUGUGAGAGUGGAAAGUUCACACUGUGACGGUAUCUUACCAGAAAGGGACGGCUAACUACGUGCCAGCAGCCGCGGUAAUACGUAGGUCCCGAGCGUUGUCCGGAUUUAUUGGGCGUAAAGCGAGCGCAGGCGGUUAGAUAAGUCUGAAGUUAAAGGCUGUGGCUUAACCAUAGUAGGCUUUGGAAACUGUUUAACUUGAGUGCAAGAGGGGAGAGUGGAAUUCCAUGUGUAGCGGUGAAAUGCGUAGAUAUAUGGAGGAACACCGGUGGCGAAAGCGGCUCUCUGGCUUGUAACUGACGCUGAGGCUCGAGAGCGUGGGGAGCAAACAGGAUUAGAUACCCUGGUAGUCCACGCCGUAAACGAUGAGUGCUAGGUGUUAGACCCUUUCCGGGGUUUAGUGCCGUAGCUAACGCAUUAAGCACUCCGCCUGGGGAGUACGACCGCAAGGUUG
This 549-nucleotide ribosomal RNA is filed under the name uncultured bacterium. RNAcentral's name for it is "bacterial SSU rRNA". It matches the Rfam family "Bacterial small subunit ribosomal RNA", at positions 356 to 896 of the family's 1533-position model. The record is from RNAcentral.